AUGUUCUCCUUGUCUCUUUCUCUUUUCUCAGUUUUGUCGCCGAGUUCCUUUUGGCCGACUCUGACUAGUCGGCUUGUUCUCGAUAGAGCCCUCUUCUUCGGCCUGCCGGCGGGUCGGACGCGGAGCGCCGAUUCGUCCCUGACCGGACGCAGCACGAUCUGGAGGACCCCGACUUGGGGGCGGCCGCUAUGGACGACAACACCGAGCCGGGUGGUGGCCAAGGCGGCGGCGAAGCAGGCGACUCCGGGCAUGGAGUCACCUUCGACGACUGGCCGGACGACGACGAGGCCGAAGUCGUCCCGCGCCGUCAGCCGGCAUCUGGCCGCAGCGCGGGUUCCUCCGCUGCACCGCCUGCUCGGGGCGGCGGGCAAAAGCGUCGCGCCGCACAGGGUUUGUUCGGCAGCCGGACGAAGAAGCCCAGGGGCGAAGCGGCGGCGACCAGGCGGGAGGAGGCGGCCGCGAAGGCGGCUCGCUUCCGCAAGACGGUGA
This 489-nucleotide ribosomal RNA is filed under the name Triticum aestivum (bread wheat). Its description in RNAcentral is "partial small subunit ribosomal RNA". Lineage: Eukaryota; Viridiplantae; Streptophyta; Magnoliopsida; Poales; Poaceae. The record is from RNAcentral.